GCCCACGAUACAUGCAGCUUGCAAGCUCGGCGUCUAAUCAUUAGUAAUGUGCCUAUAACCGAAAGCAACUGCAGUGCAAAUUACAAAUAUACAGGUACGUACCACAUGUACUCGCAUUAUAUGUAUGUAUAUGUAUCUGUGCACAGCCCGCGAUAUCUUCUUAAAAUAACUGUAUAGCACAUCAUUAGUCAAAUGUGGGAUCAAUUCGCUAAUCUCAAAUGUAUGGUUUAGCAGAACAUUUCUGGAUCCAGAUCCAUAUAAAAGUGCCCUGGAGAAACAAAAUGAUGAGUGUUCUUAUGUUCGAUUGGGCAAACAAAUAAACACAAUAAUCAACAGACGAAUUCACAAAUGUAUGUAUGUACAUAUGUAUGUAUGAAUGUGUUUAUAUGUUCUCCACGAAGAACGGAAUGAAAACGAAAGACGGAUUUGCAUGCGUAUUUAAAGAUUCGGACCUCCAACCCGGCCUUCAGUUGUUGUUCUAUUUCAUAUAUUUCCUUUUGCACUUGGCUUUUGCGUAAUGAUUCAUAACUGUGGCGGCUGUGUCUCUGUACCGCUCCCUCGUGUUCGAUUCUUGAAUUCAAUGUACAUGUCGGUGCUAUCUUGUUCUUACAAAUCGCGUGCUGAUCGAGCACUGCCGUUCCCGAUGCCCCCCCUGGCACAGCUUCUAUUCUGCCUUUGGUUCGGCCUGUGUUUGACAAGAGCGCUACACACGAUUUUAAUGAUUCCCUGCGGUCUGUGGCCAUCGAAGAUCCAAUAAGAAUUAUGACUUUUUCAAUGUGAUUUCAUUAAUUUUGUCUGCUAGCCUUCUUGUACGAUUGUGAUGCCACAACUGUGUCGCCGCUGUUGGUGUUGAUGUCGACUCUUACUUUGGGCGCCUUUUGGCAGCACCUUUGGAUUUCUAAUUCUGGCAUCGUCGGGCAAGAAGCGUGCACCAGUUUCUUGAACCCAAGACAAAAACGGACAAAAAACAGGGCAACUUAAUUACCUUUCAAUCGCUGUCGUUCUGGCUUACUUACUCUACGACAACAAUUACCAAUAUCAGUUUAAGUUCAUUUUAUACUCAUGGUGCGAUUGGUUUAUGACUAUUCCAAAUUCGGUACCUGAUUCAUCCAUUUCCUCCAAGAGAAGGAACCACUGUCGCGACCUUAUCUGCGACCGAGGGCUGACACUAUCAGACUAUUUCUAUUCUACAUUCGUGUGAUUACCCCAUAUUUGAAGGAUCUGGAAUCUGUGAGUCAGUCAUCGCAAAUCACAUACAAAAGAAAAACGUUUUGGGCAUUUAGCAUUCUGCUGGUGAUCUCAUUGUUGGCCAAAAGAAGCAGGCGUGAAGAAUUCCGCUUAAGAUUCGGCUUCUUCGACUUCCCUUUAAAGGAAAUACUCUUGUAUAUAGAUUUCAGUGGUUUCCUCUGUUCUGCUUUGUUCUAAUUGCGCUUGACUGAUUUUAAUAACAGACCUAUGCGUUAGACCCCGGCUAUAGGUUAUUAAUCAAACAGGCAACUCGAGUAUUCCCCUUUAUUGUAUUUUAAUUACCAGGAAUCACGGCUGCGGGCAUGCCGGACAUGAUGUCACCUCAUCUGGCAAGGCAAUUUGUCACACAUCCAACAAGAAACAAGCACCAAAUCACCGUCUAAACACCUACUCUUUUGUGGCAGUUCCAUCACUUCAUCUUCAUCUCCAUUUCCAUUUCUAUCGCCAAUACUGGGACGAGAUGAUGUUGGUUGCGAUUGGGAUUGGGCUGUUGGGCUGUUUGGCUGCUGGGAUGGGCCUUCGUCCAUAAACUGUAAGCUUGUUUGUUGGUUUUUAAUUGGCAGCACCAUAAUCUAUCAUUAAUUUUGCCAUAAAUUGUUUCCAUCAAUGCGAGAGCUGCCGCACCAAUCCGGUUGCCCGGUCUCCCUUCGGAGAGCAUUUUAUUUAUUUUUAUUUUUCUAUAAAACGUUCUUUUUAUCUGCGUUUGCAAGAUUUAUGCGCGCGGCUAUAAAAUAAUAUGCUGCCAUAGCAACGCCGCGCCAGCCAGAGCAGACAGCGACUGGGUUGCUCCAGUGUAUUGUACAUCCUCGGAUGGUCAUCCUUUGGGCCAAUGCCAACUAUUUAGCCGGCUAAAAAUAGCGCCCCAACACACAUACCAAAGCAGUUGCAAUCACUCAGUUUGUUGCUUAAGCCUUUUGUUUUAUUUCUGUUUGCAUUUUUCAGUGUCAGGCCCGAUGCCUCUGCAGCCCUCUGUCCUUUGCCCCAGAAUGAAAAACGGAGGCAAUCGGCAUGGGAUCGCCUCCUCAUCGCCUCUACUGAAAGUGAGUUAUGCAGUGCACAGUUCAUAGAAUAUAUCUCCCAUUCUCGUACACACUCAUAUACUCGUAUUUCAUCACGAUGUCAACUAUUUCCCUCUGCGCCAUCAGAUAUGGGAUCGAAGAUCACUUGAGAUGAAGAAUUUCAUCUAGCUUUCACUCACCAUCAAACGCGGAAGACCAGCAGUCUAAAAAAAACAGAAAAAAGGGGAUUUCAAUCAAACAACGCCAAUGGGCUAAAUGGGUAUUUUGUAUUCAUGGCCGAAGCUGG
This 2553-nucleotide long non-coding RNA is filed under the name Drosophila guanche. The record is from RNAcentral. Lineage: Eukaryota; Metazoa; Arthropoda; Insecta; Diptera; Drosophilidae.